CACACCACACCAUGUUUGCACAGGUUGACUUAACUGUGAUUGGCGGUGUCCAGAUUUCUACAACAGCGAACACGAAGGCUCUGCAGUUCUCACUUUCAGGUGGAUGCAAUGGAUGUGAUCAGAAUGAUACCAAUGGACAGUCUCCUCCCAUGACAGCAAGCUUGGUGCAGGGGAGGCCAGUUCUGCUAGUGACUCCUUCCUUAUCCUCUUGCUUGGAAAGGUUCCUUCAGGGUCUGCUGACUUCUGGGUCAGGACUGUCAAGAAGAGUGAGGAGGGAUUCUUGGAACACUCAUCCAGAAAAGGAAGGUCUCUAUCCAAUCCUCCCCUCCGGGGCUUAGGGAACCCCCACAGAAGAGGAGGCUGAGAAAACAAGGUCCUCUAAAUCAACAGGACAAAAGCUCCCAGAGGCCGAGGCAGCUUUCACAGGACCUGCACAGUUCUGCGACUGUAUUGUGGCUUCCAGGGAGCAGCCGGUGCUGACUCAUGUGAACUGAACUGCUGAUAUCCUGGCAACAAAGACUGGAAUUGCCCCAAAGAACUAUUUCUAAUCAGGAUACAGCAGAGAAAGCAGUACAUCCAGCCAGGAACAGCACUACAGCAGGUAGUAAUCAUCAGCAACAUGAGCGAAGGUCCACAUCCAACGAAGAAGGAACAGGAAUAUUGCAGGUGAUACAGGACACACAGGCAGUCGUCCAUCUGUACUACAAUGAGAAGAGAGGCAUGCGGAGAAAACUGAAGACUCGUCUUUAUCAAGUACCUGUCAUAAUCACCCCUAUUCACUGUGAGGAGGAAUCACAUCAUUUCCAGUGGCCAUUCCUUCCAACGAAAUCAAUGGGUCUUCUGCCUACAUUCACAUCAGUGAACCAUUUUCAUGCCUCGUGCCUGAGGAGACCAGAGGUGGAUGCCAGAUCCCACGGGACUAGAGCUGCCAUGAAGGUGCUGGGAAUUGAACCAGGGUCCUCUGGAAGAGUAGCCAGUGCUCUUGACUGCUGAGACAUCUCUCUAGUGCCUAUGAAACAGACUCUUAAUCAACUGAGAUUGGUUGAAGCUGUUCUGAGCAGUUCUUGCUUGACCUCUUGAAAUAGGGAGAGUUACAGAAGCACAUGUCUUUAGACGGCCUGGAUACCUGGGUUAAGAAUGCUGUUUAAGCUUGUGUAGGUUUGAAUAAAAGUGACCCCCUGCAUGUGCAUGUUUGAGUGCUUAGUCAUCAAAGGAUGACACAAUGUGCGAAGGAUUAGAGGAAUUAGGAGGCGUGACCUUGUUGGAAGGGUGUGGCCUUGUUGGAGGAAGGGGCUGGGCUUUGAGGUCUCAGAUGCUCAAACCAGGCCCAGGCCCAGUACCUCUCUCUUGGCCUGAGGAUCAGGAUGUAGGUCUAUUAUUGCCCCAUUGCUAUGACUGCUGCCAUGUUCCCACUGUG
Long non-coding RNA from Apodemus sylvaticus (European woodmouse), 1417 nucleotides. RefSeq lists it as uncharacterized. The transcript is spliced from 5 exons. NCBI's taxonomy places the organism in Eukaryota, Metazoa, Chordata, Mammalia, Rodentia, Muridae. The record is from RefSeq and is a predicted model, not a curated record.